UAGAAGUUCACCCCCAUUAAAUAAAUAUAAAUUAUACAGACUGAUCAAAUCCAGCCCGCUGCUUUGGACAAUAUGAAUUUUCCCAUAGAAACUCCUCCAAGGUGGAAUGAAUUUCCAGGCUCUGACAGACACGCAGUUUUUAAUUAAGAGCAAAGCAUUUAUUAGAACGGAUGAGAGCACUAAAUCUGACCAAAAUGCCUUUGAAGCUCCCCAGCCCCCCUGCCUGAUUCCACGGGACCUCCCCCUCCCCGCAACGCUGCCGUGGCUUUAUAUUUCACAGCAUCCAUAACACGGAUUUAUCAAAGGUCCCCAUGGCAACGCCCGGGCCAUGCGAGACAAAUACGGGGCCGAGCCUGGAAACGGCACAAAACAAACCGAAAUCGCCGCGUUCCCAGCCGGGCUGCAGCCCCGGAUUCCGGUGGAUCCGUUAUUAAUCCUGCACUUUGCACAACCUCUGGAGAUUUGGAUCUGCCAAGCUUCACACAGCUCUGCUUAAUUCUUGCUCAAGGAAGGAAGGAGUCUUCUGACUGGGAGUUGGAUCCUAAAAUUCUUCCUUGGGAAGGGUUCCCACUUCCGAGGGCUCCGUUGGCUGAUGGGAUUUGAUUAAUCCCCCUCUAAUGAGGAAGUGCAGCAGCUGAGAUGAAAGGCUGAGCCCUCGCUGGGACAAGGUAUGAACUAAUAAGCCAAGCUCAGCUCAUAUGGAGAGCCAGGCAUUCCCGGCGGGGAUUGGAACCAACCUGACUUUGGUGUUUUGAUCAAAACUGUGCCAAAAAAAAUAAAAAUAAUUUUAAAAAAUCCCCGCAGGGUCCAAAACCUAAAGCAAAAAGUCAGCAAUGCUACCACCUGUCUGUUCACUGCUGGUACUAUUGGAUAUUCAGAGGCAAAAACCUGCCAAAUUUACCCCAAAUUUCACUGACCCGCAGAACUGGGAGUCGUUUACCUGUUUGCAGUGGGCAGAAAAUAUCUUGGGAUACACUCCUGAUGCUGGAGAAAUCCAUCCAGUGUUUAAAACUGCACGGAGAGAUGGGAAUGUGAAAGGGAGGAAUAUGGGCUGAGUGGGUUUGGGAUAAACCCUCUGAAUAAUGAGAUUUGCCGGGCUGCAGAACUGAAUUUCAAGAAAAAUCAAUCCACUCAAACGAGAAAUUUAAAACUACCCCCAAACCACCCAGCAGAGAACAUGCUGUACAUCCUUGGCUUAUGGAUAUAAAUCCUUUGGAGUGGCUUUUUCCAGGAUUUGGAAUGGAAGAGAAAUAUUUUGCUGUUGAUGUUAUGUGAGGCUACAGACUUUGUAAUGAUGGUGGUGCCCUCAUGGAAUAAACCAGGCUUCACCCCAAGGAAUUUCCUUCCUCAGACAUCAAUUAAACACAGUUUUUAGGCAUGACUUUUCCUUUAUGUAACAUUCCUAAACCUAUCCCUAAUUAACAAAGUAUGCAGGAGGACUUGAUUGAGGGAUCAGAGCUUAAAGCAGGGCUACUCUUAAAUUAGACAGGAUGGGAGAGUGGGGAACCACGGCACAGAGGGCUGGAAGUCUGAGAUGCCAGGGAUGACACAAGGGGGGACAAACGGAAUUUGCUCCGGAGCCAAUUCCACAAGUGACUGACAGGCAAAAGAGACAGUUUGAACCACACUGGAACAAGCUGCUGCCAAUUAGCUGGGAAGCCUUGACGUGCCAUUUUGUGAUGUUGGUAUUUUUCUUCGCACGGAGAGAUGGAUCCGUGGAAAAUUCCAUUGGUUAAGAUUCUCAUUUUCCUCUCAGGGUGAAUUACUGGUUGCAGAUCAGUGUUCCUGUGACAGCGAGCUGCUUUGCCAGGAGUUUCUCCCAGGAAUGUAAAUUAAAGUGCUGAACUGCAUCGCACUGGGUUUGGGAAUGGCAUCCAAAUGAACUGUCUGGGGCAGUUGUCCAGGAACGAUCACAAGUUCCAUAGAAUCACCAAGACCUAAAGCUUUAAAAAUCCAGAUACUGAGAAGUUUAAGCCUUGCAAUAACAUUUCCAGGUUUGGCAAUGCAGACAAUGUCAUAAUUUCCUCACGGCUCAUUUUUAACCUUUUCUUUGAGUCACAAUAAAUGUUCCCGCAUUUUUUCGUGUCUGGUUUUAUGUUAUAGGAAUAACCUGGGCAUUCCAGUCUCUGUGGACUCCAUUGAUUAAUCUGGCUGAAUUCUUCCACCUCGGGCAUUGACUCAUCCUGGUUUUUCCUGACUUCCAUAAUCCCUGGUUCCUGACAUUUAGAUUUGUGUCACAGCAGCCUGGAUUCAUUUUUUUAUGGGCCCUUUUCCUUUGUUGUGGCACCCUUGGGCACAGCAAAUCUUGAACUCAGAGUUGGUGUGGAAAAAGCCACACAAGUUCCCGAUGAUAUUCAUUAAAUUAGGGCAGGGUUUUAAUUCUUAAGGCUCUGGACUACACCUGACACCUUAUUGCAAAAAAACCCCAAAAAUCCCAAAAGAUGAACAUAAACACACUCUGGAUUCAUUUCCCUUAAUUCAUGUCUCUAAAGCUUAAAGAAUGUCUUUAAUCCAUAAUUAAUCCAAGUGGAGGAGUUCUAGGUAAAGACAGAAACUUUCAAAAGAUGAUUCCAUGUAUUUCAAGGUUAUUUCAGGGAGCUGAGGCGUUCUCCCCUAAUUUUUGCCUUCCAGUAGCUGAAGGGAACCUACAGGAAAGACAGAGAGAGAUUAUUCACAGAGACCUGGAGGGACGGGACACAGGGGAAUGGCUUUAAGGUGGAAGAGAGUAGAGUUAGAUGGGAUUUUGGGAAGGAAGUGCUGCCCUCAGUUUUCCCUUCCCAAAAUCCCAGCCCCUGAGCUCACACCCAGGCUCACUCAGCUCUCUGCACACAGCAGCCACACAAAACAAAUCCUUCUCCUGCUGCACACCAAGGACAGCUGGCACAAGUUCUCAGGCCCCAGAGCACAACCAGCGGUGGCUGCAGGAGAAAACAAGAAGGAUGGGACUGCAUCACCUGCAGCUGGCAUUGGACAAUCCCACCCCAAAGUGCCAAUGGACCCAAACUGAUCCAAGGGGGAGGCCUGGGCAGCGUUUGUCCAUUUGGGGCCCAUUUUGGGCCCCCCUUGGGUGCAGCCCUGGCCAGGCUCUUGUGCUGCCCAAGGUGUGUCCUUCAAGGGCUUUGAAUAAAUCUCUGCUUUAUUCUCCAGCUCUGCCCAGUCUCUGCUCCAGCUCAGCCUUCCCAGUUCCCUGUGAGGGUGGGGAGGCCCUGGCACAGAAUUCCCAGAGCAGCCCUGGAUCCCUGGAAGUGUCCCAGGCCAGGCUGGAAUAACCUGGGAUAGUGGAAGGUGUCCCUGCCCAUGGAAAGAGAUUAUUUUUUACCUUGUGGUAGCUUCUAAAAUAUGAUUUUCUUUCGAAUAAACCAGGGCACGUCUGUACUUAUAAUUGUGAGAGCUCCUCAGCAAAGUGGAAUCCAUUCUGUUCUUUUUCUGUUCUGUAAAUCCAGUAUAUUCCAUUGAAACAAAAGUUCUGGACCGAAAUACCAAUUUUCAAGAGAAAAAUCAUUGUCUUUUAAUCAAUUUUAGAUUUUUUUUGCCUGUCUUCCCCCUCUUUUUUUUAAUUUUUUUUUCUCUCUUAGCUUUCUAUUUUAAACUUAUUAAAUAUAUCCCAAAAUGGGGUUUUAAUAUUCCUGGCCAUCUUUCCAUGUCCAGAUUGCUUCCAGCAAUGGAUUUGACUGUGUAAGGAACAGCAGAUUCCUGUUUUGCCUGUCACUAAAAAAUGCCUCAUUGAUACAGGAAAAGAAAAUUAUUAAAAUGGUUUUUUAAAACCCCCUGCCUUUCCUUCUGCUGAAUUCUUUUCCAGAGCUUCCUCGCCUGUUUUCCAUGCAUUCCAGGAGCCUAUCUCUCUCUAGUGAUUACAGGUGAAUUAUGGGCCAAUAUCCCAUGGAAUAUAAUAAAAUUUUGAUAAACUUAGGCAAGAUAAAGCUCCCACUUCGUGUCUUUAGACCUCCACGUCUGAACUUUCAGUCCUGGUGCCAGAGUGGGAAGGAUGAUUGUGGCUGGCUUUUUGCUCUGUGAACACGAUAAGCAGAAUUAUUAAUCAAGGCCGUAUCUCUGUUAUUAAUUAUCCGUAUCCUCCUUUCAUCGGGGAAUUAUUCUUACUCAAUUAUUUUUCGUCUCCUCUGGAUUCACCAGAUGGGUUUGGCAAGAGGAAAAUUCUUUUUUUUUUCUUUUUUUCUUUUUAUUUUCUUUUUUUUUC
This is a long non-coding RNA of Prinia subflava (tawny-flanked prinia), 4195 nucleotides long. RefSeq lists it as uncharacterized. The transcript has 3 exons. The record is from RefSeq and is a predicted model, not a curated record. NCBI's taxonomy places the organism in Eukaryota, Metazoa, Chordata, Aves, Passeriformes, Cisticolidae.